AUUUUUUUUUAAGCGCUGUGCACUUUUUGCAAUUUUUUGCACUUAUUACACUUGAAUAUUUGUAAAUAUUUGUAGUGGCUUGGGCGGAGCUGGAUUCGGUGCACCCUGUGGGGUAGGCCCAGUUUUUCUGAUACUUUGGAUUCAAGCCUCCAUUUUAGACACUUCUCUCGCUUCCAAAUGUGUAAGGAAUGUAAGUGAAGAUGUUUGUGAAACACAUAAAACCAACUCCAGACCCAUUUCAAAAAGAGCGCUAUCUACGUGAAACGGUUCAUUGUAUGAUUCAAACAUUAUUAUAUAGGAGUUUGUUUACUAAACAGUUAAUUAUGGUGAAUUAAAACUAGAAUUGCAAAAUGGUGG
This is a non-coding RNA of Pelobates cultripes (western spadefoot toad), 357 nucleotides long. The record is from the annotation of a GenBank genome assembly. Lineage: Eukaryota; Metazoa; Chordata; Amphibia; Anura; Pelobatidae.